UACGGGGGGAGCAAGCGUUGUUCGGAUUUACUGGGCGUAAAGGGUUCGUAGGCGGUGCGGCAAGUCUGAUGUGAAAUCCCGGGGCUCAACCCCGGAACUGCAUUGGAUACUGCCUUGCUAGAGUACUGGAGAGGAGACUGGAAUUUACGGUGUAGCAGUGAAAUGCGUAGAGAUCGUAAGGAAGGCCAGUGGCGAAGGCGAGUCUCUGGACAGUAACUGACGCUGAGGCACGAAGGCCAGGGGAGCAAACGGG
RNAcentral lists this ribosomal RNA (253 nucleotides) under uncultured bacterium. Its description in RNAcentral is "partial 16S ribosomal RNA". It matches the Rfam family "Bacterial small subunit ribosomal RNA", at positions 524 to 776 of the family's 1533-position model. The record is from RNAcentral.